Molecule: ribosomal RNA, 445 nt
Filed under: uncultured bacterium
Lineage: Bacteria
Description: partial 16S ribosomal RNA
Rfam family: Bacterial small subunit ribosomal RNA
Source: RNAcentral
GUGAGGAAUAUUGGACAAUGGGCGCAAGCCUGAUCCAGCCAUGCCGCGUGCAGGAAGACGCAUCUAUGGUGUGUAAACUGCUUUUGUACGGGAAGAAACACUCCCUCGUGAGGGAGCUUGACGGUACCGUAAGAAUAAGGAUCGGCUAACACCGUGACAGCAGCCGCGGUAAUACGGAGGAUACAAGCGUUAGCCGGAAUAAUUGGGUUUAAAGGGUCCGUAGGCGGUUUAAUAAGUCCGUGGUGAAAUCCCAUCGCUCAACGAUGGAACGGCCAUUGAUACUGUUAGACUUGAAUUACAAGGAAGUAACUAUAAUAUGUAGUGUAGCGGUGAAAUGCUUAGAUAUUACAUGGAAUACCAAUUGCGAAGGCAGGUUACUACUUGUGGAUUGACGCUGAUGGACGAAAGCGUGGGGAGCGAACAGGAUUAGAUACCCGGGUAGUCC